GACGAACGCUGGCGGCGUGCUUAACACAUGCAAGUCGAACGGAGAAAGCAGGGCUUUCUCUUCUGGAUGAGUGGCGAACGGGUGAGUAACACGUGAGUAACCUGCCCCAGACUCUGGAAUAAGCGCUGGAAACGGCGUCUAAUACCGGAUACGAGCCAGAGCUGCAUGGCUACUGUCUGGAAAUUUCUUCGGUCUGGGAUGGACUCGCGGCCUAUCAGCUUGUUGGUGAGGUAACGGCUCACCAAGGCAUCGACGGGUAGCCGGCCUGAGAGGGUGACCGGCCACACUGGGACUGAGACACGGCCCAGACUCCUACGGGAGGCAGCAGUGGGGAAUAUUGCACAAUGGGCGAAAGCCUGAUGCAGCGACGCCGCGUGAGGGAUGAUGGCCUUCGGGUUGUAAACCGCUUUCAGCAGGGAAGAAGCGAAAGUGACGGUACUUGCAGAAGAAGCACCGGCUAACUACGUG
RNAcentral lists this ribosomal RNA (468 nucleotides) under uncultured bacterium. RNAcentral's name for it is "partial 16S ribosomal RNA". It matches the Rfam family "Bacterial small subunit ribosomal RNA", at positions 28 to 507 of the family's 1533-position model. The record is from RNAcentral.